Molecule: ribosomal RNA, 484 nt
Filed under: uncultured bacterium
Lineage: Bacteria
Description: partial 16S ribosomal RNA
Rfam family: Bacterial small subunit ribosomal RNA
Source: RNAcentral
AUUGAACGCUGGCGGAAUGCUUUACACAUGCAAGUCGAACGGCAGCACGGGGGCAACCCUGGUGGCGAGUGGCGAACGGGUGAGUAAUACAUCGGAACGUGCCCGGUCGUGGGGGAUAACGUAGCGAAAGUUACGCUAAUACCGCAUACGAUCUGAGGAUGAAAGCGGAGGACCUUCGGGCCUCGCGCGAUCGGAGCGGCCGAUGUCAGAUUAGGUAGUUGGUGGGGUAAAGGCCUACCAAGCCGACGAUCUGUAGCUGGUCUGAGAGGACGACCAGCCACACUGGGACUGAGACACGGCCCAGACUCCUACGGGAGGCAGCAGUGGGGAAUUUUGGACAAUGGGCGCAAGCCUGAUCCAGCCAUUCCGCGUGCAGGACGAAGGCCUUCGGGUUGUAAACUGCUUUUGUAUGGAACGAAAAGGCUCUGGCUAAUACCUGGGGCUCAUGACGGUACCGUAAGAAUAAGCACCGGCUAACUACGUG